This 592-nucleotide ribosomal RNA is filed under the name Staurocladia oahuensis. RNAcentral's name for it is "partial 16S ribosomal RNA". It matches the Rfam family "Bacterial large subunit ribosomal RNA", at positions 1816 to 2594 of the family's 2925-position model. The record is from RNAcentral. Lineage: Eukaryota; Metazoa; Cnidaria; Hydrozoa; Anthoathecata; Cladonematidae.
GCCCUCUUUAAAACAUAAAAGGUGUUGCCUGCCCAAUGAUUAUUAAUCUGUAAAUAGAAACUAUUUAAACAAUAAUUUAAAGGACGCGGUAUCCUGACCGUGAUAAUGUAGCAUAAUCAUUCGCCAUUUAAUUGAUGGAUAGUAUGAAUGGCUAAACGAGUAUAACACUGUCUCUAAUAAAAUAUUAUAAAAUUGGAAUAUUAGUAAAGAUACUAAUUUAAACUGUAAGACGAAAAGACCCUAUAGAGCUUCACUAUUAUCCUUAUAAAAAGAACCUAAGUUUACUUAAAUAAACAUAAGGAAAGAUAGUUUGGUUGGGGCGACCGCUUUCUAAAAUCAACGAAAGUAAACAAAAUCAAUUAAAUGAUUUAUUGUAUAAUUUAUCAAUUUAACAAUUAUAAAAAUAGGUAAUAAUGACCCGUUUAUUAAAAUAACAAUUGUAAACGAUCAGUAAAUAAAAGCUACCUUAGGGAUAACAGGAUAAUUUUAUUUCAGAGCCCUUAUCUAAAAUAAAGUUUGUCACCUCUAUGUUGAAUUAAGAUAUCCCAAUGAUGUAGAAGUCAUUAAAGGUAGUCUGUUCGACCUUUAAAAU